GCCUACUGUUUAAUUUUGAGGGUUCGUUUUUACGAAUACUCAAAAGUAGCACUUUAAGCAACGUGAUUUAUCCGUUGGCGCUGUGCAUUAGCACUUUAAGCAACGGAAUUUAUUCGUUGGCGCUGUGCUUUAGCACUUUGAAAACUGCAUAUAUAUAUUUAGUGAUAUGACAUCUAAUUUGUAAUAUAUAAAGCUGAUAACUUUUUAAAAUUAUCGAAGUUGAUAGCUUCUAAUCUAUCAAACCUUUUUAACUGGUCAA
This 259-nucleotide unclassified non-coding RNA is filed under the name Clostridioides difficile. Its description in RNAcentral is "16S-23S ribosomal RNA intergenic spacer (ISR)". The record is from RNAcentral. Lineage: Bacteria; Bacillati; Bacillota; Clostridia; Peptostreptococcales; Peptostreptococcaceae.